RNAcentral lists this ribosomal RNA (1480 nucleotides) under Lacticaseibacillus rhamnosus. Its description in RNAcentral is "bacterial SSU rRNA". It matches the Rfam family "Bacterial small subunit ribosomal RNA". The record is from RNAcentral. Lineage: Bacteria; Bacillati; Bacillota; Bacilli; Lactobacillales; Lactobacillaceae.
CUAUACAUGCAGUCGAACGAGUUCUGAUUAUUGAAAGGUGCUUGCAUCUUGAUUUAAUUUUGAACGAGUGGCGGACGGGUGAGUAACACGUGGGUAACCUGCCCUUAAGUGGGGGAUAACAUUUGGAAACAGAUGCUAAUACCGCAUAAAUCCAAGAACCGCAUGGUUCUUGGCUGAAAGAUGGCGUAAGCUAUCGCUUUUGGAUGGACCCGCGGCGUAUUAGCUAGUUGGUGAGGUAACGGCUCACCAAGGCAAUGAUACGUAGCCGAACUGAGAGGUUGAUCGGCCACAUUGGGACUGAGACACGGCCCAAACUCCUACGGGAGGCAGCAGUAGGGAAUCUUCCACAAUGGACGCAAGUCUGAUGGAGCAACGCCGCGUGAGUGAAGAAGGCUUUCGGGUCGUAAAACUCUGUUGUUGGAGAAGAAUGGUCGGCAGAGUAACUGUUGUCGGCGUGACGGUAUCCAACCAGAAAGCCACGGCUAACUACGUGCCAGCAGCCGCGGUAAUACGUAGGUGGCAAGCGUUAUCCGGAUUUAUUGGGCGUAAAGCGAGCGCAGGCGGUUUUUUAAGUCUGAUGUGAAAGCCCUCGGCUUAACCGAGGAAGUGCAUCGGAAACUGGGAAACUUGAGUGCAGAAGAGGACAGUGGAACUUCCAUGUGUAGCGGUGAAAUGCGUAGAUAUAUGGAAGAACACCAGUGGCGAAGGCGGCUGUCUGGUCUGUAACUGACGCUGAGGCUCGAAAGCAUGGGUAGCGAACAGGAUUAGAUACCCUGGUAGUCCAUGCCGUAAACGAUGAAUGCUAGGUGUUGGAGGGUUUCCGCCCUUCAGUGCCGCAGCUAACGCAUUAAGCAUUCCGCCUGGGGAGUACGACCGCAAGGUUGAAACUCAAAGGAAUUGACGGGGGCCCGCACAAGCGGUGGAGCAUGUGGUUUAAUUCGAAGCAACGCGAAGAACCUUACCAGGUCUUGACAUCUUUUGAUCACCUGAGAGAUCAGGUUUCCCCUUCGGGGGCAAAAUGACAGGUGGUGCAUGGUUGUCGUCAGCUCGUGUCGUGAGAUGUUGGGUUAAGUCCCGCAACGAGCGCAACCCUUAUGACUAGUUGCCAGCAUUUAGUUGGGCACUCUAGUAAGACUGCCGGUGACAAACCGGAGGAAGGUGGGGAUGACGUCAAAUCAUCAUGCCCCUUAUGACCUGGGCUACACACGUGCUACAAUGGAUGGUACAACGAGUUGCGAGACCGCGAGGUCAAGCUAAUCUCUUAAAGCCAUUCUCAGUUCGGACUGUAGGCUGCAACUCGCCUACACGAAGUCGGAAUCGCUAGUAAUCGCGGAUCAGCACGCCGCGGUGAAUACGUUCCCGGGCCUUGUACACACCGCCCGUCACACCAUGAGAGUUUGUAACACCCGAAGCCGGUGGCGUAACCCUUUUAGGGAGCGAGCCGUCUAAGGUGGGACAAAUGAUUAGGGUGAAGUCGUAA